This 19443-nucleotide long non-coding RNA is filed under the name Triticum aestivum (bread wheat). RNAcentral's name for it is "long non-coding RNA (TAES_LNC001763)". Lineage: Eukaryota; Viridiplantae; Streptophyta; Magnoliopsida; Poales; Poaceae. The record is from RNAcentral.
GCCACCAUCCCCACGCCCCCACUCCCUCUCCCAUCCAUCCACCCACCAUCGCCGGCGCCGGCCCGCCGCCGCGCCGCCCCCGCUCCGGGAACCGGCCGCCGCUUCCCUCCCAGUCCGCGCCGCCGCUGCCGUUUCCCUCCCCGGACUGCGCCGCCGCUGCCGUCACCCUCCACGGAUCAUGCCACCGCCGCCUCCCUCCCCUGAUCGCACCGCCACCGUCCGCCGCUAGCUACCGCUGCCUGUGCAGUCCUUUGCUAGCUGCCGCUGCAGUCCACCGCUAGCUCUUGCGGGGGAGGCGGUGCUGCUCCGGCUACCCAUGCGUCACUGGCUGCCGCCGCGAACGGCGUCCGGACGCCAUCACGUACUGCCCCCCGGUGCCGCCUCCAGCGCGUACCCGUUACAGCCUUGGGAAAAACCUCCUCCACGUGGGCGACUGGCCGCUCAAACUUCCCCUCGCCGGCCAUCGUGGGCCUCUGUAUCCUGUCAUGGCGGCUCCUCCCCUGUGGCACAAGCAGGUCAACUGCGGCUGGAUGAGACUCGAAAAAUGGUGAUACGUACUAGAACAAAUACUCCUGGCAUACCCAUGUCGUUGGCAGCAGAAGAUAUUUCAGUUACUAGUUCUUCCAUAUGCUAGAGGAGUUUCUUUCAAUCCACCGUGAGCAGAGCUCGUGGCAUCAAUUCUUUAUUUUUUGUGUGUGAAAAUUUAUGAGCAGGAAGGAAUAGUUCUGCCCGAUGAGCAGUUCCAAUUGAGUUCUCCCUACAGAUAGUUUGACUUCUAUUUCCAAGCUUUAAGCUAUCCUAGAUAUUUGAUUAGUACUCCACCUUGCAAGCAAGGAUGCUCUGAAAAUGAAACACGUGAUGUUUGAUACACCUUGGUACACCACGGCUCAAGUUCUCUGCAUUUUUUGUUAAAGGUCAUCGGGCUGGGCACGGGCUGCUUAUAUGUUGUACGCCUUGGGCGUCCCUGUGCUGGUGAUGAGCGUGAUGGCCGUGCAUUGACCUGCAUCGCCUGUCCCAACUGUGCCGGCCAUGCGUCCGACGACCUCGUCCAUCCCUGAUCACCUCUUCCGCGCAAUCAGGCGCACAUACACAGACAUGCCUGUACUAUAUUAUACUUGAACUUCAGAGCUUCUGAACUCUCUGAAUCUGUGUGCAUGUUUUUAUAUUGUGUCAUUGCAUAGCUCCACCACUGAAUUUGGAAAUUCAGUCAAUGCUUAAACUUGAUAAAAAAGAGCAAGAAACAGUGACAUAUUAUGUGUGUUUUUCACGGAAGUGAGCUGAGAAUUUAGAUGUUCCUUUUCAUAAUAUUAAGGGCAUCGAUCAUUCAACUAUUUAUGUUAUCCUUCAUGCUCUGACUUGAGUGAAGUUAUGUGAACUAGCAUAGUAUAUUGUAAUUUUCUGAUUUUGAGUCGUGGCAUAUAGUCCUCACACAAAGUAGUUGCAAAAUAUAUUGAAGUAUAUUAUGCACAUAGUUAUCCUCCCUAAUGCCUAAACUGGUACAUUUUCAAUCUUUUUGCUGACUACUAAACAUAAUUAUUGUAGGUCUUCCCUGACCCAUGGUCACGUGAAAGCGACGCUGCUCCGACAAGCUCCUCCGUCCCCCGAGCACAGUGCUGUCCAUGAUGGUCUCCUCCCUCCUGUUCCCUCAGCGAGGAUGAUGUCACCUUUUUGCGAAACAUAAAGUUAUGUAGUUCUUCAGUAUAUGUCCAUAGAAACCUAUGACAAUUUCUUCAGUAGCAGUUCAACAAAAAAUCCUGUUGUAGUUCUUGAGUAUUGUUCCAUUAGAAUUUCAUGUUAUCUAAGUAUUUUUAGUACUUGCUAUUGCAGAUAAGUGUUUGUUAGAAUUGUCAUUCUGUCAGUAAAGUACCAUUCUUUAGUAUAUGUUCUGAAAAUUUCAUCUUUUGUGUGCCUGGUGUGAAUUGUUGGUCUUCUCUCACUUUUGCUCCUGAAUUAGAGGUAGCAUGUUGAUUUUCGCACUUGAUGAAGAACAUAUCCUAAAAUGUGAAAAAAAUGUUCCCCAACGAAUAAUUUAUUGUUCGUAAAGAUCUAUUUUCUUCCAGAGUGAUGAAUUUUUUCUCCUAAACAAAGAACUUUAUGUUCCUAAAUGAGGAGGUAGUAUAGGGAACUACAUGUACGUGUUUUUCCGAAAACUUUAUUAAACCAUUUUUGAUUUUAUUAAACCAUUUUUCUGAAGUAUACGGAACUUCAUGUACGUGUUACUCCUGAAACGAGAUGAAACUUUGUGUGUACAAUUUUUUAAUAUACCAUAUUGAUUGAGAACUAAAAAGGGCAUGCUUUUUUAAUAAUGUAAAAGUUCAACGACUUCACCUAGAAAGUUCAAAAGACAUUAUUUUUGAGGGAGAACGCAUCGUGCCUAGAAGAUGCAUAUGGAAUAAAAUGUAAAUCCGUAAUGAAGUUCAUAUAUAAAAAAAAUUGAAGUUCGCAUAGAGAAAAAAGGUGCAUUUCUGAAGAAAAAAAGGUAUAUGUUUUGUGAUUCCAGAUGCUUAUAUGGUCUUCCUGUGACACUGAAAUCUUUUUCAUUUUAUUAGGUGAGUCAAAUUUUUGUGUGGAUGUGCCGUGCAUGUGCUUGUGCGUAGUACACUGAAUAGAACAAAAAUAAUAAUAUUAUAGGUGUCGUGGUUCUAAGUCUGACAGUAGAAUAAGGGGUAGGUAUGGAGAGGCAAGAUCCUAACUAUGGAGCAGUUGUGCACACAGGUGUUUUACCAAUUCAGGCCCUUCUCGGAGGAGUAACAACCCUACGUCUCGGAGCCCGGAGGCGGUCGACUGGAUUAUGUGUGUGAGAGUUACAGGGGUGCGAACCCUUCUAUCAGUGGAUGGGGGUGGCUUAUAUAGAGGACGCCAAGACCCAAGCCAGCCCACGUAGCAGAGGGUUAAAGUACAGUAAGGUCUGGCGUUACUGGUAACGCCCUACAUAAAGUGUCAUCAUGACCAUUAAGACUACUUAAUUACAGACCGUUUGGAUACAGAGUAGAUCCUGAACUCCUGGUGGUUGAGUGAGUCUUCAUGGUCGAGUGUCUUCAGGUUCGUCGAGUGUCUUCUAGUCCGUCGAGUGGAGUUCCUCUUGGUCGACUGGAAGACAGCUUCUUCUAAGAGAUGUCCUUGGGGAGGGUACCUUGGUCAGGUUCAUGACCCUACCCUAGGUACGUGACUCCAUCAGUAGCCCCCGAAUGGAUCGAGGUUUGAGUGAGGAAGGAGUUGGCAAUCUUUCCGACCUGCUUUUUGGUGUUGUAAGGGUGUUUUGCUCUGGAUCAGUGACUUUCAAGUGAGGGUGUCAACUUUCGUUCAGUCGCCUUGAUCCAUUCUUUAUAUCUGUCGAGUGAACUUUAUGAACUUGGAGAUUUCCGAGCGACGGAUCGCAGGAGAUCUUCCGUCUGACAAGUUGCCCUGUGGUUAGCGGAUUUAGUGGGAUCCGAAUUUUGGGAAGCGCGCGAAGCGGAGAAGAUCGCGGUACUCGGAUGGGAUAAGGCAGGGGCGCCUCGAUUCUCGCGCCGCCUUUUUCGCCACGUAUCGCUUGCGCGACUGUUUCGGGAUUUGACAGGAUCGCCUGGGCCUACCUGUCGGCCACACGGAAGUGACUCCAAUAAGGAAACCGGUGGAGGUUUUUUGAAUAGUGCCUCCUCAUUUUCUCCUCCCUCGCCUCCAGAUUCAUCCGCUGCGCCCACCAACUGCCCGACGCCGCUGCUCCGUUCCGGCCUCGUCGGCGACAAUGGUGAAAGAGAAGACGGCGGCUUUGGAGCGGGCGAAGAAGGCGACGGCGGCGGCGAAAGUGAAGGGGAGAGCGACCAGUCGAGGGGGAUCCUCGUCGCGGUCCCGUUUGCCGCAAGGUUGGAUCCAGGGUGAUUGGAUCCGCUCGACCAUCACCCAAAAGGAUCUCGACGACCUGGCCGACGAAGGCCUGAUUGCGCACGGGGCGGCGAGGCUCCCGGGGAUGGAGUGGCAGCCACAGCCUCAGGAGGGUGAGUGUGUCUUCUUGGCGACUCAUGUAGAUCGAGGGUUCUCUCUGCCACCGCAUCUUUUCUUUCGUGGGUUCCUGAAUUUCUUUGGAGCUCAGCUUCACCACCUUACCCCCAAUUCCAUUGCCUAUCUCUCCGCCUUUGUAUCUUUGUGUGAGAACUUCUUGGGUUGUCGGCCGCACUAGGGCCUCUUCAAACACAUAUUCACUUGUCGUUCUCAGACGGUGAAAAAGGCCAGCCCUAAUGACGAGAGAACUCAGGUCAUCCGGAUGUGUGGGGGUCUCGGGGUCCAGAUGAGGAGUAAGAGCGCUUUCCCAGCUAUGACCCUUCCCGAGUCAGUCAGAGGGUGGCAGUCGACCUGGUUCUACUGCCAAGACCAGUCGACGCCAGGGCAGUCGACUGGGCUCCCUCCCUUCUCUAUGAGUCGAGUGAACAAGCCAUCCUCUCUGAAAGUAGUUCUGGAGGAGAAGGCUCAGGUAAAAAUGUUGAUGGAGCGUGUAGUCCAGUUGAUUCGUGACGGUGUGACUGGCAUGGACCUUCUGGAGGUUUUCCUUCGGCGGCGCAUCCAACCGCUCCAGUACCGGGGCCACCUGAUGUGGUUGUAUUCUGGUACUGAAGACACCAGUCGGGUCCACCCAGAGGAGGUCGAUGAUGCCACACUGGAGAGGUGGAUGAUUGCCAUCACAGGGAACAAGGACAACCCUCAUGGAGCCAGGAGGAUCCCGCCACUCGACCAAUCCUAUGAUCCGGACAAGGUACGACCAUUCUUCUCCGAUUGUUCCGUCCGUUCUGUUUCAUCGUAGAUCAGUCGAUUGACUUUUGUCUUGCUUGUUGUUUUUCAGGAAACCACCGAGUUGUACUCGAUGCCCAACGGGGCGCAAGCACAGGCCGAAGAGGAGGAAGGAAGCGGAGGCGGAAGUCAAGAGGAGUGGGAGUCGGAUGCCGAUGAGGGUGAUGAAGACGCAGGCUCCGACGAGGAGGAAGAGGAGGAGGAAGAGGAGGAGGAAGUUGCGCCUCCUCGUUCCGAAAGGAGGUCCAAGCUCGCCCACGACCCUGCGACUGAUCGUGGCAAGGGAGUCGUGCCUGCGGGGCAGUCGACGAAACGCCCUCGGACAACUUCACCGGCGCUGACUGAGAAGGCGUCGAAGCAACCCCGAGUGGCCCCGUCAAAACCGGCGAAGGCCCUACCGAAGAUGAGGAUGGAGAUUCCGACUAUUUCUGGGUAACGACAUAGCUCAUGUUUUUCAUACUUGGUCGACUUCAAUCGCUGACCGACCGAUAUUUGAAACCACCGUGCUGCUACUUCUGAGACUUCUACUAGGCAUGAUGAUCAAGAAAUGGAAGAUGCUGCUACUUCUCAUCCUGGUAUGAUCUGCACGCUUUUGCUUUUGGUCGAUUGAAUCUUUAUUUUUGACUUUGAACUUCUUCUGCAGCUCCACCUAGCGUUGUCAUCAAUCUCCCUGACGAUGACGAUGAAGCGCCACUGAGGCAGAGGAGGAGCAGGAAGGCGACUACUGGCAAGGCUUCUCAGGUUGUGUCAGCGCCUGGACCACAGAUUCCAGAAGGGAGCAACGUCGCUCGGGCUACCGUGUCCUUUGCGGAGCUGUUGACGGUUGCCCGCCCUUCGUCGUCGAGUGCUGACCCGCUUUCUCUCUUCACCACCUACCACGUCCCGGAGGACCAAGCAAGCGUUGCCAAGGAAGCCAUACGCCAGGCCGGGAUUAUGAUGGAGCAGGUGAAGGCGAUCCGAACCGCCAGCCAAGCAGCUUAUGACGCGAGUUCAGCUCUCCAGAGUAAUGUCCAGGUUAGUUAAACAUCGACUGGAAAUCUUGAUGUUUGUCAUGCACCCACUGGGUGUGUCAAUUCUACGGUGGACUGCUGGCAGUCGACUGUAGUCUUUGUGUCUUGAGAUUUCUCACUUGACUUGUUUCACUCGAGCAUGGUCGAGUGGAACAAUAAAACUGGUGGGGGCACGCUGAGUGCACCCACUGGGUGUAGUCCCCGAGACCGUGGUCGAUUGUUGGCAAUCGGCUAUGGUCUGAUUUUUUUGCUGCUGACAGUUAACUGCUUCCGGUCGACUGAUCGACUCUGAGUCUAUCUGAUAGAACUAGUGGGGGCAUGCUGAGUGCACCCACUGGGUGUAGUCCCCGAGACUAUAAUUGAAUGUUUAGAUUCAGCUGUAGUCUUAGAAAUACUACGAUUUUUCCUUUAGUCACUCAGAAGUGAUCUGUCUUUGAUGUUUGUCGACUGAACUUUGCAGAAAUCUUGCGAUCUUGUUUCCCGUUAUACCGAGAUGGAGAACAAGUAUAUCCAGCUUGAACUUGACCUGAAGCUUGUCCAAGAGAACUUCGCGAAGUCGAAGGAGGAGGCAAAAGGUAUGUUUGGUGAGAAUCUUGACGACUGUCUUUGCUUCUUGCCUGUCUCCGAGUCCGAUCUUAUUGCAAUUUUGCAGAAAAACUGAAGGAUGCUCUGAAGAAGAACGACCUCGACCCCGCCGAGGCACAGAAAGCGGCUUCGGACAAGACAAAACUUGCAGAAGAGAAGUUGGCUUCUGUCAGCAAGUUUGAAGAGGAAAACACUAAUCUGAAAGCUGCUCUGGACGUGGCCAACCAAGAAGUCACUCGACUGAGGAAUGCCAACAUGGUCCUGGAUGACAAAGCUGGCGAACUAGCAGGAAAGAAGAAUGACUUGGAGGUUUAUCUGGGAUGACUCGCCAAGAAGCUAUUACUAAUGCUCGAAGGUAACCCCUUAUCUCCGAUUGGUAAUUACCGACUUGCUGUAAGGGCAUUAGCUUAUCCUUGAAUCGCGUCUACAGAAUUCUGCCAAUACUUUGAAGAGGAGACUAGUCGAGUGGAGACUAGCUUGGAUCCCAUCAAUUCUCCGGUGAAGGAUGAAACCGCUAUGAACGUGCUCUGCCUCGAGUCUCGCGUUGCUGCAGUGGUCGACUACCUUGCAAGACUGAAGGCCGCAACGUCGAGCAUCGACACAUCGCUCUGGCUAGAAGAAACAGUUCAGAACGACCUUGAGUCACUGAUGACUCGACUGAACGAAAUUCCGAGUCAAGUGCAAGAAUGGAAGAACUCUUCUGCCAGGUGCGGUGCUGACGUCGCUCUGUCCUUGGUCCGCGGCCACUGCAAGGAAGCGAGAGAAGACAAGCUGGUGUCUCUCAAGGUGGCCAACACUAGGAAGCAUGACUUCCGUUCUUUCAUGGAGACCUUCAUCGCGGCUGCCACUCGGAUCGCAGAUGGGAUCGACCUGGACGAGUUUGAUGCGCCUUCCAGUCCUCCGUAGGAGGGGUAAAAAACUUCUAUGCUCGAUGAUUUGAAUUUGCCUCGGAAUGCCGAGUGAUUUUUGUAACCACCAAACUUUAACAGGCUUGAUGCCUGGGCACUGCUGGGUCCGUAGGACGUUGUCCGAACUUGAUUUGCCGUUGAAAUACGUUUGCUUCUUUCGGAUAACUAUCUUCUUUGGGUUAGAACAUAUGCUAGCAUCUGCAAUGCUCUUUUGCAGGUAGGAGUGAAGCACAAAUAACAGUUGACUUGUGCUCGUCGUGUUUGGGCGAGUGUUGGGUUGCAACCAAGCCUCCGGGUGAGAAACUGGUUCUCCACUCGGAAGGAUUUUAGAAACUUAGGCGAGCACUGAGCUGCAGCUAAGCCUCUGAGUGGGAGGUUUGCUCUCCAUUCGGUAGGAAUUUAGAAACUUAGGCGAGCACUAGGCUGCCGCUAAGCCCCCGAGUGGGAGGUUUGCUCUCCACUUGGCAGGAUUUUAGAAACUUAGGCGAGCACUGGGCUGCAGCUAAGCCCCCGAGUGGGAGGUUUGCUCUCCACUCGGUAGGAUUUUAAAAACUUAGGCGAGCACUGGACUGUAGCUAAGCCCCCGACUAGGAGGUUUGCUCUCCACUCGGCAGGAUUUCAAANNNNNNNNNNNNNNNNNNNNNNNNNNNNNNNNNNNNNNNNNNNNNNNNNNNNNNNNNNNNNNNNNNNNNNNNNNNNNNNNNNNNNNNNNNNNNNNNNNNNNNNNNNNNNNNNNNNNNNNNNNNNNNNNNNNNNNNNNNNNNNNNNNNNNNNNNNNNNNNNNNNNNNNNNNNNNNNNNNNNNNNNNNNNNNNNNNNNNNNNNNNNNNNNNNNNNNNNNNNNNNNNNNNNNNNNNNNNNNNNNNNNNNNNNNNNNNNNNNNNNNNNNNNNNNNNNNNNNNNNNNNNNNNNNNNNNNNNNNNNNNNNNNNNNNNNNNNNNNNNNNNNNNNNNNNNNNNNNNNNNNNNNNNNNNNNNNNNNNNNUGGGAGGUUUGCUCUCCACUCGGUAGGAUUUUUAGAAACUUAGGCGAGCCCUGGGCUGCAGCUAAGCCCCUGAGUGGGAGGUUUGCUCUCCACUCGGUAGGAUUUUCAUGGUACGGCUUUGGGGGAGAAGGUAGCAGUCGCCUGCGCUUCGUCCUCCUUGCGGAACGCAUGUUGUGUUUGUGAUGUAGCUCGGAAGGAGGAAGCAGGGGUCGACCUGCGCCUCGUCCUCCUUACGAAGCGUACGAUGUCUUUUAUUCUUAGGCGAACACAAGGUUGCAGCUAAGCCCCCGAGUGGAAGACUGGCUUAUCACUCGGUAGGAUUUUCAAGAUCUUAGGCAAGCACUUGGUUGCAGCUAAGCCUCCGAGUGGAAGGCUGGCUUACCACUCGGUAGGAUUUUGUUUACUUAGGCGAAACGUAUUCGCAGCUAAGCCUCCGAGUGGAAGGCUGGCUUACCACUUGAUAUGAUUUUUUUACUUAGGCGAAACGGAUUCACAGCUAAGCCUCCGAGUGGAAGGCUGGCUUACCACUCGGUAGGAUUUUUUUUACAAGCUUAGGCGAACCGGGUUCGCAGCUAAGCCACCCGCUGGGGGACCGAUUUAUGAGAGUAAAAAGCAAUGAAAAUUACUAAGAAAAUUAUGAAUCUCUUGUCUUUGAUGAAUAUACUACAGGAGUACUUUUUAUUACAACUCAUCCGAGUGAAAAACUUAAGUAUAAAAAGGGCGAAGCAGGUCCGCGUUCCAUGCUCUGGGCUCAUCAAUCUGGUGCUCGACAUUGUAAAGGAGGUAUGCCCCAUUAUGGAGGACCUUGGUGACGAUGAAGGGACCUUCCCAAGUGGGAGCAAGCUUGUGUGGUUUCUGCUGAUCCACUCGGAGAACUAAAUCUCCCUCCUGGAAAGCUCGACUCCUCACAUUUCUGGCAUGGAAACAACGCAAGUCCUGCUGGUAAAUGGUCGAUCGGAUCAAGGCCAUCUCUCUUUCUUCUUCUAGAUGGUUGACCGCAUCCUGUCGGGCUUGCUCUACUUCAGCUUCGGUGUAGAGUUCGACUCGGGGCGCGUUGUGAAGCAGGUCACUCGGCAAGACUGCUUCAGCUCCGUAUACUAAGAAGAACGGAGUCCUCCCCGUCGACCGGUUUGGCAUGGUCCUUUAUCCCCAAAGUACUGACGGAAGUUCGUCGACCCAUGCGCCGACUGCGUGCUUGAGGUUGCGCAUCUGUCGGGGUUUCAAUCCUUUGAGAAUUAAGCCAUUUGCUCGUUCUGCUUGUCCAUUCGACUGAGGGUGGGCGACUGAAGAAUAGUCGACUCGUGUACCCUGAGAUGCGCAGAAGGCUCUGAAUUCUUCGGAGUCGAAGUUUGACCCAUUGUCUGUGAUGAUGCUGUGGGGAACUCCAUAUCUGAAUACCAACUCUCUGAUGAAGCUGACGGUGGUGCCGGCAUCCAGAUUCUUGAUGGGUUUAGCCUCGAUCCACUUAGUGAACUUGUCGACUGCUACCAAUACAUGGGUGUAGCCGUUUCUGCCUGUCCUCAGUGGUCCAACCAUAUCCAACCCCCAUAGAGUGAAAGGCCAGACGAGUGGAAUGGUCUUCAAGGCUGAGGCGGGUUUGUGCGACAUAUUGGAGUAGAAUUGACAUCCUUCACACUUGUCAACUAUCUCUUUCGCCAUCUCAUUUGCUCUGGGCCAGUAAAAACCUGCUCGGUAUGCUUUAGCCACGAUGGCCCGAGAGGAUGCAUGAUGGCCACAAGUCCCCGAGUGGAUGUCGUUGACAAUCAUUCGACCUUCCUCUGGUGUUAUGCAUUUCUGGCUGACUCCAGUCGCACUUUCUCUGUAUAACUGUCCCCUCAUGACGGUGAAGGCUUUGGAUCGGCGGACGAUCUCUCGAGCCUCUUCUUCAUUCUCACGGAGCUCUUUCCUCAGAAUAUAGGCGAUAUAGAGCACUGUCCAGUCGGGAGUGAUGACCAGAACUUCCAUGAUCAAGUCGACCACAGCUGGGACCUCGACUUCAGUCGGAUCCGUGGCGCUUUUUGGCCGCGGGGCUUCCUCGGUGAAAUGAUCUUCUUGAACCGACAGCGUGUGAACAUGCUUUAAGAACACACCACUCGGAAUGACUUCUCUCUUGGAACCUAUCUUCGCCAAGUCAUCGACUGCUUGAUUUUUCAGUCGGGGAACAUGAUGGAGCUCUAAUCCCUCAAAUUUCUUCUCCAGUUUUCUGACUGCAUUGCAGUAACCAGUCAUGGCUGGGCUUCUGACGUCCCACUCCUUCAUCACCUGGUUGACCACUAAGUCCGAGUCACCAUAGACCAUGAGGCGACGAACGCCGAGUGAAAUGGCCAUACGCAACCCGUACAAGAGUGCUUCAUAUUCCGCUUCAUUGUUGGAGGAAUCAAAGUGAAUCUGGAGUACAUAUCUGAGCUUAUCUCCUCGGGGGGAAACCAAGACCACUCCGGCACCGGAACCAUUCAACAUUUUGGAGCCAUUGAAGAACAUAGUCCAGUGCUCCGAUUGAACUUGGGUCGGUAACUGCUGUUCAGUCCACUCGGCGAGGAAAUCUGCUAUUGCUUGGGACUUGAUAGCUUUCUUUGCCUCAAAUCUCAUAUCUAGGGGAAGAAGUUCAAUCGCCCAUUUUGCCACUCGACCGGUUGCGUCUCUGUUGUGCAGAAUCUCUGAUAAGGGGGCGUCGGUGACGACUGUGAUAAUAUGGUCAGAGAAGUAGUGAGCAACUUUCUUCGUGGUCAUGUAAAUCCCAUAUACAAGCUUCUGAUAAUGAGGGUAUUGUUGCUUGGAUGGGGUCAUGACUUCGGAAAUGUAAUACACUGGGCGCUGAACUUUGAAGGCUUUCCCUUCUUCUUCUCGCUCGACCGUAAGUACAGUAUUGACGACUUGUCCUAUGGAUGCAAUGUAAAUCAGAAAAGGUUCUUUGCUGAUUGGGGCAGCAAGCACCGGCUGGGUGGAAAGCAGGGUUUUUAACUCUGCAAACGCUGCAUCAGCUUCUGGAGUCAACUCGAACUUGUCUGACUUCUUCAUCAGUCGGUAAAGAGGCAAUGCCUUUUCACCGAGGCGAGAGAUGAAUCGACUUAGCGCGGCCAAGCAUCUAGUAAGUUUCUGGACAUCAUGCACACGUACGGGGCGUUUCAUUCGGAGUAUAGUGCCAACUUUUUCUGGGUUGGCAUCGAUUCCUCGUUCAGAAACGAGAAAACCGAGUAACUUUCCGCCAGGAACUCCGAAUGUGCACUUUCAUGGAUUAAGCUUGAUAUCAUACCUCCUGAGGUUGGCAAAUGUUUCAGCGAGGUCAGUCAGCAGGUCGGAACCUUUCCGAGACUUGACCACAAUGUCAUCCAUGUACGCUUCCACAUUCCGACUGAUUUGAGUGAGCAAACACUUCUGAAUCAUCCUCAUGAACGUGGCUCCGACAUUCUUGAGGCCGAAUGGCAUGGUGACAUAACAGAAGCACCCGAAUGGGGUGAUCAAAGCCGUUUUGAUCUCAUCGGGUCCAAACAGAUGGAUCUGAUGGUACCCGGAAUAAGUUUCCAAGAAAGAAAGUCGCUCACAUCCUGCAGUCGAGUCGACUAUUUGGUCAAUGCGGGGAAGAGGAAAAUGAUCUUUCGGGCAGGCUCGAUUGAUAUGCUUGAAAUCGAUGCACAUGCGAAGUGAAUUAUCCUUUUUGGGGACCAUGACGACAUUGGCGAGCCACUUGGAGUGGUAAAUCUCUCGGAUAAACUCUGUUGCUAGGAGCCGAGCCACUUCUUCGCCAAUGGCUUUCCUUUUCUGGACGGCGGACCAUCGCAGAUGUUCCUUCACAGGUUUUGCCUUUGAAUCGACUCGUAGAUGAUGCUCAGCCAGUCCCCUGGGUACACCCGACAUGUCAGAAGGUUUCCAUGCAAAGAUGUCCCAGUUCUCACGGAGGAACUGGAUGAGCGCUUCUUCCUAUUUGGGGUCGAGUGUUGUGGAGAUAUGAGUCGAAGCAGCGUUAGGGUCGGUCGGGUGGAUGUGAACGGGUUUUGUCUCACCGGACGACUGAAACGCUGAUUCCAUAGCAGGCUUCUUGGCUCGCAACAAAUCACUCGGGUCUGCGUUCCUUUGGUGUUCCUGCCACUCUUCUGCCACCAUCUGAGCAUCGGCGAUCUUCGAGCCUUUAUGGAAGCACUCUUCUGCCUUCUUGCGGUUACCAGUGACAGUGAUCACGCCUUUAGGGCCAGGCACCUUUAGUUUGAGGUACACGUAACAUGGUCGAGCCAUAAAACGUGCAUAAGCUGGCUUGCCCAAAAUUGCAUGAUAGGCACUCUGGAAAUCCACAACCUCAAAUGUCAGCUUCUCUUUGCGGAAAUUCUUUGAAUCACCAAAAACUACGUCAAGAGCAAUCUGGCCGAGUGAUGCGGCCUUCUUGCCAGGGAUGACUCCGUAAAAACUCAUGUUGCUUGUGCUCAGCCUGGACAUCGGAAUGCCCAUCCCUUUCAGUGUCUCAGCAUACAGUAUAUUCAAACUAUGCCGCCGUCCAUCAGCACUUUGGUCAGUCGAGUGCCUUCAACGACGGGAUCGACCACCAGCGCUUGCCUCCUAGGGGUGGCUAUGUGCAUGGGGUGAUCAGAUUGGUCGAAUGUAAUGGCAGUCUGAGACCACUUCAGGUAAUUGGGUGUUGACGGAGCAACCAUAUUCACCUCUCAGUUUAUAACUUUCAGUCGGUUUUUGCUCUCAACAUUGGCAAAAAUCAUCAAGGUGGAAUUGACCUGCGGAUAUUCCUCAUCACUAUCCUCCUUGUCCUCGACCUUGUCCGACUCUUUUUCCUUGUCCUUUGGCUGCUUCCCUUGGAACUGCUGUAGCAGGAGUCGACACUGUCGAGUGGUAUGCUUCGGGUAGAUGAAAUUACCCUCUUCGUCUUUCUUGGUGUGGAUGUGACAUGGUAAAUCCAACACGUCAUUUCCUUCUUUAUCCUUUACUUUCUUGGGGUUCCAAGGCCCCUUGGGUUUCCCUUUGAACUUUCCUUGGUUCAGGGCCAAGGCUUCUCCAGGAGCGGCUGGCUCGGCUUUACGCUUUUGCUUCCGACUGGAAUUUCCGGUGUCCUGGGCGACUGACUUGUGCUUGCCACUCCGGAGACGAUCCUCUUCCUCACCAUUGGCAUAUUUGGUGGCUAUUUCCAUCAUUCGACUCAGAGACAUGUCUCCGGUUCGACCGAAUUUCAGGCUUAGCUCUCUGUACUUUACGCCCUCCUUGAAGGCGCAAACUGCCUGGUGAUCAGAUACAUUUUCCACUGUGUGAUGCAGUAUGAUCCAUCUCUGGAUGUAAUCCCUCAGAGUCUCAUUCGACUUCUGUACACAAGAUUGCAGCUCUGUCAGUCCCGCCGGCCGGUUGCACGUUCCUUCGAACGUCCUGACAAACACUCGGGAGAGGUCCUCCCAUGUGUAGAUGCUGCUGGGUGUCAACUGAUUCAGCCAUGCCCUGGCUGACCCUUCCAACAUGAGAGGCAGAUGCUUCAUGGCCACCUCGUCAUUUCCACCCCCGAUCUGAACAGCCACUCGGUAGUCCUCAAGCCAAGUAUCGGGCUUGGACUCACCGUUGAACUUGCUGACUCCAGUCGCCAACCUGAAGUUGGGAGGAAUCACCGCGGCUCUGAUGGCUCUGUUGAAACACUUUGGCCCGGAGACAUGCACUCGGCUGCUGGUGGGUACAUCUCUGUCAUUACCCUCUCUGUGGGCUCUGUUCCGGUCGACCAGACCUUGAACGAUGAUGGAUCUCGCAUCAAAGCCUGGUUCCCUAGGGUCGAGUGGAAUUCUUCGCCCGCCAUUGUACUGGCGUCUGUCAUCCUGCUGUCGAGGCAUAUAUGAUCCACCCCUCCGGGAAGGAGUGGGCACUCGACAUCGAUCGUUGCGAUCGACUCGGUGAUCAUCUUGCUCAUAGUUCUUGUACUGAUCGUGUCGGUCGCCAUGCCCUUCACGCCUCGAGGGCGAUCUGGGGCUAUGAGCUGACUGGACAGUAUUCGCCGCCACGGACCUGCUAUGAAUCCUGUUCCGCGACUGCGACACAGCCGAAUUCUGAUCUCCAGCUGCCCGGAGGAAAUCCCUGAUCUGCAUCAAGCCUCUGCCAGCCUCUGAAUGGGAAGGCUGAAUCGACUCUGCUAUACGUGUUGCAGCUGCCAAAUUCUGGAUUGGAGUGCGGUAUACCUGAGUCGGAGGUUUAAAGAGUUGGCGUCGACUGGAGUCUGGAAUCCGUUGCCGCGCACGCUCAUCGAGUGCCUGCUGAAGGUUCUCCAGUCGAGUGCGCUCAGCCAGGUUGGCCAAGCGCGCGUCCUCCAAGGCGCAAGCCUCAGGGGUUUCUCCAACGAUCGGAGUAUGAAGCGCAUCCAUGUUCCAGCGGCGAAGCUCUUCCCUCUGCUACGAGUCGAGGGGCUCGGGACGGUACUCCUCAUGGUCGUGCGACGGGUCGCCUCCGCCGUUGCCUCCCUCAGCGCCGGGAAAGCCGGGGGGGACGUGCGGCCCAUUGACCAUCAGGACCUCUGCCGCCGGAUCACUGCUGUCGCAUUCGGAUGCAGUCUCUGUGGAGCCAGUCGACAGGUCGAACAUGCCGUAGAGAGAUUCGUCGGGCUCGAUUGCUGCGACUUGGGCAGUGGUCGAUUGACGAGCCACCGCGUGCCUCACCCACCGCUGAGGCCUCGACCGACCGGAGCGCUUACGCUGGCGGGAAGCUGGGAGGGAGGAUGACACGAAAACCGGCCGAUACUGAGUCGACGGUUGCCGUAGAAGGACGCCGCGGACGCAUGCUCGAAAGUGAGUAGCUCCGCGGAUCGGGAGUGCAUCCACGUCGAGCGGAGCCUCCUGCAGCCAGGCAGAGUCGUCGGCGACGAAUGUGAGCGCGCCGAGACGGAUCUCACGACCCUCAACCAAAACUCCACCUGAAACCAUGAUGAUGGGAAUUCAAAAGAUUGCAACUUCUCCAACAAGUCGCUAAGACACCUUCCCCAAGCUGGGCGCCAACUGUCGUGGUUCUAAGUCUGACAGUAGAAUGGGGGGUAGGUAUGGAGAGGCAAGAUCCUAGCUAUGGAGCAGUUGUGCACACAUGUGUUUUACGAGUUCAGGCCCUUCUCGGAGGAAGUAACACCCCUACGUCUCGGAGCCCGGAGGCGGUCGACUGGAUUAUGUGUGUGAGAGUUACAGGGGUGCGAACCCUUCUACCAGUGGAGGGGGGUGGCUUAUAUAGAGGACGCCAAGACCCAAGCCAGCCCACGUAGCAGAGGGUUAAAGUACAUUAAGGUCUGGCGUUACUGGUAACGCCCUACAUAAAGUGCCAUCAUGACCAUUAAGACUACUUAAUUACAGAUCGUUUGGAUACAGAGUAGAUCCUGAACUCCCGGUGGUCGAGUGAGUCUUCAUGGUCGAGUGUCUUCAGGUUCGUCGAGUGUCUUCUAGUCUGUCGAGUGGAGUUCCUCUUGGUCGACUGGAAGAUAGCUUCUUCUAAGAGAUGUCCUUGGGGAGGGUACCUUGAUCAGGUUCAUGACCCUACCCUAGGUACGUGACUCCAUCAAUGGGUGCUCUCUAAAUGUUUGUCCUACUGCUUAGUAGAAUUGACCCAAAAUUUCCUAUUGUUUUUGCACAUGUUGGAUUCAAGGGAAAACGUGUAUAAAAAGGCGUGAUUUCGAAAGUUCAGGUGUAACGAACAUUGAAGUUCAAACCAAAAAAAUGUAAACAAAAAAAAUCAUAGAGUUCAAAGAAUAAAAACUAUGGAGUUUCAUGAAAACAAUUAAUAGCACCCGAAGUUCAUGUUUUAGAAAUUCCUAAGUUCACGUGUACCACGUACAGAAGAAAAAUCAUCAAAUGAAAAAAGGGACCGCCUAGGCCAUUUCAUCGAAAAGAAAAAAAAUGCAUAAAAAUGUCAUGACAAAAUUCUAUAAGAAGUUCAAAUUUAAAAAGCGAAGCAGGUCAAUGUUAAAAAAUGAAGUUGUUAAUAUCUAAAACAUAAAAUUUGAGCAAGAAGUUCAAAACAUUUGAGCAAGAAGUUAAAAGAUAAAGUAGUUCAAAAAUCUUUAUAACAGAUUUUCUCCGUUUGUAAAAGAAUCAGAGAAGUUCAAAUUAAAAAGAGGAGCAUUUCAAAAGAUUGUAUAAAAACUGAUUUUCCCCAUUCUAUAAAAACUAGAAGUUCAAAUUAAAAUAACGGUGUGGUAUCAUUACUUUUAUCAAAAAAGCAUUUUCCCUGUUAUUAACCAAUAAAACUAAGAAGUUGAAGUUUAAAAAACGGUGAAGUUCGAUGGCUAAAAGUGUUGUUGCUAGAAGUUCAAGUGCUCGGCCCGAGAAAGUUCAAAAGUUUUUGUGAGAGAGGUUGAACAAAAAUACGUGACAGAAGUUUAAGGUGAAAACAAUAGGAAGUUCAACUACUACACGAAAUGCUUUCAGAUAAGAAUAUAAGAAUAGAAAACAAAAACCUUAAAAGGUUUGUUGCAAGAAGUUCACGUGCUCCUCCUAGUAUAGUUCAAAAUUCAUGUGCGAGAUGUCCGUCGUUCAUUUACAUGUUGAAAACCCCCGGAAAAACAACGUUGUUUUGCCAUUUUAAAAACUGCUCUCAAACGACAACGAAUUUGUAACACCUGUUCACAUGAAAACCUUGUUGUUAUUCAUAAGAUUUCCAACAGUAUAUUAUGUGCUGCAUUUUGAUGAAUUAAUAUUUUCUUGUAUACCAUUUCAAACAUGUUUUUAUGUAUUCAAAAGAUUAUUAUCUGUUGAAAGAAGUUCAUAGUGAAAACAACGAGAAGUUCAAGUACUGCAAGGAAUGCAUUUCAGGUGAAAAUAGAAGUAUAGAAAAAUAAAAGCUUAAAAGAUUUGUUGAAAGAAGUUCAAGUGCUCUGUCCGGGGAAGUUCAAAAAUUCUUGCGAGAGAGGUUCACCUUGUAUUUUCAUGUUCAAUUUUUUCCAAAUAAAAAUCGAAUACUAUUCUUUACUCAAAAUAUAAAAAGGUGAAGUUCAAAUUGAAAUAACAGAGAAUUUCGGAGUUUAUUAGAACCUAGGAAUUACAUGUUCAAAAAAAUAAAAAACACAAUGCCAUUUUUUGCACUUUUAAAAACAACUCAUAAACGAAAAAAUGGUUGCUAGAAGUUCAAGUGCUCGGUGAGGAAAAGUUUAAAAAAUUCUUGUGAGAGAGGUUCACCAUGUAUUUAGAUGUCCAAAAUACAUAAAAAAAUAUGUUGUUUUUUUGUGUUUUAAAAUAAUUCUCUCAAACUAGAGAGAAGUUCAAAGUGAUAACAACUGGAAGUUCACGUACUACAUGGUAUGUAUUUCAUAUAAGAAAAUUACAAUAAAGUGAAACGGAGUGAAGUUCAAACAGACAUGCCCCAAAAGUUCAACUACUUCACACAGUGCAAAAAAUAGCACAUCAAAAAACAGCACGUCAAAAAUAGAGUGAAGUUCAAACAGACAUGCCCCAGAAGUUCAACUACUUCAUGCAGUGCAAAAAACAGCAUGUCAAAAAAAUAGUGAGGUUCAAACGGACAUGCCCGAGAAGUUCAACUACUUCACGCAGUGCGUUUUCGUUCGUGAUGAAUGCAGAAAUCAUGAUCUCGCCAUUUUCUAAUUUACUUCAAAACGACAGGAAUGUCAUUUGUGUAAGUGCAAGUCCUCGGUCAGAAAAAGUUAAAAAAAUAUUGUGAGAGAGGUUUGUACAAAAGGAAUAUCAUUUGUGUAACACUGACGAAUGGAUGAGAAAAUUACAAACAAAAAUACGUCACAGAAGUUCAAUGUGAAAACAGCAUGAAGUUCAACUACUACGCUGAAUGAAUUUCAGAUGAAAAACUUUUAAAAUUGUUGCGAGGAUGAAAAAAUGAUCAACACGGGAAAGUUGCGUGUUUACAACAACUUUCCAUCAGUAUAUCACUUGCUCAAUUCUGAUGAGUGGAUGGAGAGCUAGGAGCAGUGGUUAGAGAUAUAUGAGCAAAAAGGCACGUGAAAAAUAGAGUGAAGUUCAAGUACACAUGCCGAGAAGUUUAGGUUAUUCACGCGGUGCAUUUUUGAAGAAUCAGUUUUGGGAUAAAGGCAGAAUGAAUGAUCUCGCCAUUUUUGCAAUUACUUGAAAAAAGCUAGGAAUCAGAGAAAACCAUCAACAUGAAAAAGUUUCGCAUUUUCCGUAGAUUUUCAGCGGUAUAUUAUUUGCCCCAUUCAGAUAAAGUAUAUAUAAAUUAUUCCAAAAAUACGUUUUAGCCAUUUUCCAAUUUGACUUAAAACUGUAAGGAAUUGGGAUAAACAAUAUAUACAAAAAAGUUUUGCAUUUCCUCAAGCUUUCCAACGCCAUAUCUUUUGUUGCAUUCAGACGUAAGGUUAAAUAAUUAGCUCGAAACUACGAACUCGGUGGAACUUGUACCGUUUUCUGAAUUACUUUUAAACUGUUCCAAAUUAGAAAAACCUUUUAACAUGAAAAAGUAGCGCAUUUUCACAAGCUUUCCAAUGCCAUAUUAUUUGCCUCAAAUGGAGUACCCGUUUAGAAAUUACAUUGAAAAUACGAACUCGGCUAUUCGGUUUGCAAAAUUUUACGAUUUUCAAAAUUACUCUUUAUCCAUAGGGAAUUAGAGAAAACUUUCAACAUGUCAAAGGAGCGGUUUUGCAGCAGCUUUCGAACGCCAUAUUAUUUACCUCAUUCUGAUAAAUGGUUUAGAAAAUGCGGUCGAAAAUACGAUUCACGUUUUUUGUAUGAAGAAAAAACGGUUUUUAAAACUGCUCUUAAACCGCUUUUAUUUUGCCAAAAAUUUAACAUGGGCCAUGAUAUUGGUGUCCAUAGCUUUCCAACGGUAUAUUGCAGGCUCCAUUUGGACAUAUUUUAGCUAAAGUUCAACCUAGUACACGGGGAAGGUCAGGCGCGUUACUCGGGAAGUUCAUGUUGUGAUCAGAAUAUUAUUCUGAUCCCAUAUAUAUAUAUAUAUAUAUAUAUAUAUAUAUAUAUAUAUAUAUAUAUAUAUAUAUAUAUAAUAUCUGUGUGUGUGUGUGUGUGGCGAAGCCCAUGUGUGGACAGUUGCCCCUGAGACUCUAUUCGAAUUAGAGCAAUCCGAACAGAGGAUCAUUAACAAGUAUAUCAUGCACUGUUUUUUAUAUUUGAUAGGCUUGGCAGCUGGCGGUUACUGCCCAGGAUGUAGAAAUUGCCGAGCUCAAUUGGAAGCUCGGGCUAUCCGAUGAGGAACUCGACCGUACCAACAAGCGGUUUGACAAAACCCAAGGUAUGAGGUAUUUCAGUAUAU